GAUGAACGCUGGCGGCGUGCUUAACACAUGCAAGUCGAGCGAAGCAGUUAAGAAGAUUCUUCGGAUGAUCCUUAACUGACUGAGCGGCGGACGGGUGAGUAACGCGUGGGUGACCUGCCCCAUACCGGGGGAUAACAGCUGGAAACGGCUGCUAAUACCGCAUAAGCGCACAGAGCUGCAUGGCUCGGUGUGAAAAACUCCGGUGGUAUGGGAUGGGCCCGCGUCUGAUUAGGCAGUUGGCGGGGUAACGGCCCACCAAACCGACGAUCAGUAGCCGGCCUGAGAGGGCGACCGGCCACAUUGGGACUGAGACACGGCCCAAACUCCUACGGGAGGCCGCAGUGGGGAAUAUUGCACAAUGGGGGAAACCCUGAUGCAGCGACGCCGCGUGAGCGAAGAAGUAUUUCGGUAUGUAAAGCUCUAUCAGCAGGGAAGAUAAUGACGGUACCUGACUAAGAAGCCCCGGCUAACUACGUGCCAGCAGCCGCGGUAAUACGUAGGGGGCAAGCGUUAUCCGGAUUUACUGGGUGUAAAGGGAGCGUAGACGGCAAGGCAAGUCUGAUGUGAAAACCCAGGGCUUAACCCUGGGACUGCAUUGGAAACUGUCUGGCUCGAGUGCCGGAGAGGUAAGCGGAAUUCCUAGUGUAGCGGUGAAAUGCGUAGAUAUUAGGAAGAACACCAGUGGCGAAGGCGGCUUACUGGACGGUAACUGACGUUGAGGCUCGAAAGCGUGGGGAGCAA
This 741-nucleotide ribosomal RNA is filed under the name uncultured Lachnospiraceae bacterium. RNAcentral describes it as "bacterial SSU rRNA". It matches the Rfam family "Bacterial small subunit ribosomal RNA", at positions 28 to 771 of the family's 1533-position model. The record is from RNAcentral. Lineage: Bacteria; Bacillati; Bacillota; Clostridia; Lachnospirales; Lachnospiraceae.